AUUUAAAAAAAAGAAAAAAAUUUAGGUUUUUUAAAACAAUUGUCCCGGGCGGGGAAAAAUGAGGAAAGGAUGGGAUGAAAACGAUACAAGAAUUUUUAUCAUAAAGGUAAAAUUAAAAUUUGUCGGAAGCAAAAACAGGAGGUGAGAAGAGUAUUGAAAAAUAGAAACCGAAUAAAACACAAAGGAAGGUAGGGUAAUCUAAAAUACCCAAAAAAAAAAAGGGAGGGUUUCACAAAUGGGAAUCUUUUCAGAGGGGGGGCAAAGAAUAAAAUAAAGUUGUGUUUUUCAUGUCGGAGUUGAUAGAGGAAAUGGCCGUUAAAAACACACAAAGAAUUAUUUCCAUAAAAUUUAAUCAAACCAAAAAAAAAAGAAAGAGAAAGGGAUUGUGUUUUUAAAAGAUCUGGCGAAAAGAGAAAAGAUCUCAGGCGGGAUUUGUCGGGUGACAGGGUCAGGUAGAAGGCUCUGAAUUGGUUGGCAAUGAGAUUGACUAAAAGCAUCAACAAUACACCCAGACAGUGAAGCGCUGGAAACAUAUGGAGUCGAAGGAAAAAAUCGGGUUCAUGCAAACACGACGGCUGUUCUCAGGACGCAAUUAGUAAUGUAACCUAGAUAGACAUCUGAGUAAGCCAAACGAAUAAAUCAAAACAUUCAACAACGGAUCUCUUGGUUCAGGCAUCGAUGAAGAACGCAGCAAAAUGCGAGAAGUAAUGUAAAUUGCAGAAUUCAGUGAAUCAUAGAAUCUUUGAACGCACAUUGCGCCCGCUGGUAUUCCGGCGGGCAUGCCUGUUCGAGAGUCAUAUCAACCCUCAAGCCCCCGAGUUUGGUGUUGGGGAUCGGCUCUGCCAUUCUGGGCGGAUGCCGCCCCCGAAAUACAUUGGCGGUCUCGCUGCAGCCUCCAUUGCGUAGUAGCUAACACCUCGCAAGUGGAACGCGGCGCGGCCAUGCCGUAAAACCCCAACUUCUGAAUGUGACCUCGGAUCAAGUACGAAUCCCCAGUUCC
Molecule: ribosomal RNA, 1000 nt
Filed under: Oryza sativa (Asian cultivated rice)
Lineage: Eukaryota; Viridiplantae; Streptophyta; Magnoliopsida; Poales; Poaceae
Description: eukaryotic LSU rRNA
Rfam family: 5.8S ribosomal RNA (bases 644-797)
Source: RNAcentral